Molecule: long non-coding RNA, 3717 nt
Organism: Betta splendens (Siamese fighting fish)
Lineage: Eukaryota; Metazoa; Chordata; Actinopteri; Anabantiformes; Osphronemidae
Exons: 2
Source: RefSeq, a predicted model, not a curated record
GCGGUGCUGCAGAGAGUCCGUGUGAUUUCAAGAUGGUGACAUAAUGGGGGACUUGAACGCGUUUCACACAUGCGUCUGAGGGAGAGGAUAAAAUUACACUCGUGUGUAAUUUAGUAAUGAUUUACGCCUGUUAAGCGUCAGUAUUUAGGCCAGAAUCAGCCGCGCCUUCCCUUCGCACGGCCCAGAAACCCACAGCUGAACUGCUUACAGUAAAUAUUCUGCUUUGUAACCGAAGCCCACGGGGGAUUCCUAAUUAGGAUCCACACACUCAGGUCAAAAUGAUGAUAGAGUCACUGCAGAGGAGUCGACCCGUCUGAUCGUCGCCGCGUGGACGCACAACUAGAUUCUCCACUCCAGCAUGAAGUGAUCUCGCUCCCUCUCUCAAUCAUUCCCAGCUGACUGCAGGGGGGGAAAUUAUCAUCACUGCCUCUGAAGCAUCAACAUGAAAGCUGAAUUUUCUUCAUCACUCGCAGCAAAAGGAUUUUUUUUUCUUCUGUGGGCACAAUAUACUUUAAAGACCCUGUGAGGUUGAACACUAUUUUGGUCUUAGAGCAAAAUGACUUCAGGUGAGGGCUGGAAUCAGUGGUGCUGGUGUGAUCGGCAUACUGAGUGACAGCGCGGCAAUAAAGCGGGAGGAGACAAGGUCAGAGAGAGCUGGUGGGAUGAAAGGAAGAUGAAUUUAAAAUGAAAUCAUCAACAUGAGUAAAGAAAAGGCAAGCGUCCAAAAAGGACAGAUUUAAGAAUCCAUCCUAAAAGCGAAUCCGUUAGUGCUGAAACCUAAGGGACAGCUUUGGCAAAUGUCAAUUCUAAGCCGUCACAGACAAAAGCCACUUAAAUACUGUGAAGAAGAGACACGAUGAGGAAGACGAGGCAGAUGCUACACGAUGAAGGUGCUGCUAGUGUAGCAUUAGCUGAGGGAGAGACGCCUGCAGCCAAAUGUGAAGUUUGUGUGUUCGUAUUAUAACGAGCGUGCAUUUAAGGAAGUAAAAAUUAAUGUUCAAAGUUGAAGUUAUGAUGGAUGGUUUGUAACGAGCUGUUUAGCAGCACGCUGAUUAAUGGUAAUGAUUAACCAGGGCGGUCAAUGCGCAAAUUCAUGAAGAUUAGGGAAUUAAAAAUGAGUUCAUUAAUGCAGUCGGUGCUGCAGUUUGCUGCUAUGUUUGAACGUGAAUAGAAAUGUUUGCAUUUAUGAUGGAUCAGGUGGUUGUUGACUACGAGGGACACACACACACACAACCAGGCUUCUCUCCACUCCCCUCCGAUGGAUGAGCCGAUGCGGCGUCUGUUGCUUUGACAGUCGACACCGGCUCUGUUUUUGUUCACUCUUUCCGCCUGUGCCGGUUGUUUACAGCAGCGGGAGGCGGCUGCUUCCAGUGAGGAGCUCUGCAGCAUCCUUCACAAAAGCUGCCGAGCAUCAAACGCGGCACACGGAGUCGGCAGUCGCCUGAUUAAGGUGGUGAAACUGUUUGAAAGCACGAGAAGCAGGAUUUUUCAUUCAGGAGGAACAAAAGAGUGAAUAUUGGACUAAAACCACUGUCAUCGUUGUCUAAAGUGCGUCGGGCUUGUUCUGCUGCCCCAAGUGGCCAGAAAAGGAAAUACACACAGUCAUAAUCUGACAUGGUGGAUUUAUGAUUAACCUGAUGAAGCACCACAGAAGGUAAUGUUACGUGAAGGCUUCGGUCAUUAAAGGUAAAAAUAAAACGGCCACUGAACAGCGUGAGAGACGUGAAGCAACGGGAGGAAAUUAUUCCCUUUUUCCCCAAUAACAGGCAUUUGGUUCAACUUUGAGAAUUCAAACAUGGGCCUGUUAAAAAUGCUCCGCGUUGACUUCCAGCUUCGUCAUGGCAACAGGCUCAUCAUUAUAACUUUUCUGUUCAUUCCUCAUUCUUGCCAGCUUCUAAAAAUUCCUUUCAUUUCAGACCUCAUCGUUAGUCGCAGCGGUCGUCCAGAACCACUCCACUCACCUGCUCGCUGCCUGCCUGCACACCUGCUCCGAAUUCCCUCAGAAGUUCCCCUCAGCAGCUGCACCAGUCGUUCUCACGUUGUUUUCAGAUUAAGUGCUGCUGUAGUCAGCUCCCCGCUCGCAAAACCAGCCCAGGUCCCGUCGUGCGGCCUGUGUGACCCUCUACAUGUUGUGGUUCUAUAAACUCCAGUCAAUCAAGGACAACGCCUCUACCCACAACCCACGAGGUGCUCAAUCAGCGGGCGGCUGAUCAAUACAUCUCAUUUCAAACCCACGCGCUUGACUUAUUAUUUUUUUUUAUUUUUGAGUGCACUUGUGAUGAAAAGUUCAUCUUCUGAUCUGGAGCGACUACGGUCAUUAGGAAUAAAUCACGCGGUGCUAAAACCUACACGCUCGUCUGUGCUCGGGGUUCCACACACCCGCGUUUUGCCAUCACACUCUGAAAAACGAGCCUCUCUCGGAGGAAAUGUUUAUGCAUCCUGCUGCAUUAACAAUGCAUGGCGGCUUAUUGAUUCAGCAUGGACCUCACAUUUGCUUUUUAUGAAACAGAAACCUGUGUUUCACCCCAUUAUGUUCAACACCGUACACAGCUUCGCAUUAUUCGUCUUUUAAACCCUGACUGCGCUCAUUUCAGUCGAAUUAUUUUUAAUACACAGGAACAAUCGUGACAUUCCUGAUGCCGCCCUGAUGGAAUUUAAUGUUUGAUUAGCGGCUCCACGCAGAGCCACGUGCGUUCUGUUGUAGUCUCGUUAGGAAGGAAAAUGAGUCGCCUGCUGCACCGAACCGGGGGGACUCAUGCGUGUCCUUUCCAGGUGUUCCCCGCAUAUUUAAACUCCAAAUUAGCUUUGCCUUUCACGCCACAGCAGAACCUCCGGUUCCCCGUCUGAUUCGCGGAGCUCACAGCACCAUCCGCCGGUCAGCUCCGUUUCCGUCGUCAUCGCCGCGUCCGCGUGCUAACCUCAACCCAGCGCGCGCGUCUGCCUCGUGCUCGUGCCCCGACAGGCCUGAAUUACACGUGUGAUCCCAGCGGGAGCCGGAGCCGGUGGACCCCGGAGGAGCGCCGUCCCCUGGCUGAUUGCUGAGCUGAAGAUCUGAUGAAGAGGCUAAUUAAAAGAGAUGAGGGCAUUAAUAGUGCAUGAGCCAGUGUGCGCGUGCGUGUGUGCGUUCGUGUGCAAGAAGAAACACCUACAAGGAUGUCAGGAGGACAUGACAUCAAUCCGGACCCCGUGUAAGUCUUCAGAUCUCUCUGUCCCGCUACAUCUGCACACGUAACAACAAACGAACGGCACGUGAGCACCAGGUGAGAGGGGUCACGGAGAGGCGGGGCCACGUUGCGUUAAUAAGCUCCACUCCGCUGCCAUGGCUACGAAAUAAGCAGCGACACACAAAGCAGCGCAGGCGAGCGAUCGUAUGAAAGAGGUGGGCAAGAUGGCACACAACAAAAGCAGCGCAGCAGUUGAGACUCUGUGUAAAUGCAAAUACAAAAGGUAACGAUGUGUACAAGUACACGUGUUAGAGGCAAUUUUCUCUGAGCAGUAUUUUAUAUGGAUUCAGCCUGUGACAGUAGUUUUCUGUGUGCGCUCUCCCAGAGUGUGAGCAGAGGGUUUGGAGCCUGUGCGGAAUGAAUAAGGACGGGUGAAAGAGUCAGAAACAGGGAGGCAGCGGAGUGUUAGAAGGUUAAAAAAUGGAUACGGAUUCUUCCUCCAAUGCAUAAUUUCUACAACAGGACACCUUCGUUCCCUCUUUUUUUUUUUUUU